Molecule: long non-coding RNA, 725 nt
Organism: Otolemur garnettii (small-eared galago)
Lineage: Eukaryota; Metazoa; Chordata; Mammalia; Primates; Galagidae
Exons: 3
Source: RefSeq, a predicted model, not a curated record
CCCAAAUACUCAAGAGGCUAAGAGGAUGGACCAUUCCUGUGCACUCGGAGACCACGGGGUGAUUUUCAUGUUGACUGUAGGAUUUCGAUUUCGGUUAAUAUUACUGCUGUCUAGAGAAUCUGUUGGAGUGAACUAGAAAGGAAAAGUGGAGUGUUUCAUUUGGGAACUGCAGAUGGCACGUCUCCCGUCAUCCUUUACAUAUCCCGUCAUCAUGACAGUGCCGAAGGCUUGAAAGUAGGUUCAGACACUUUGGUGGCAUAUUGAAUUUUGGUAAAGAUAGGUGUGAAGAGGAAGUGACCUAAGUUUCUGCAUGAGUAACAGAAUGGAUGGAGAUUUUGAAGACGAAAGGAAAAGAAAGAUUUGGCAGGUAAGAUUAAGUAUUCAGUUGGGGAUGUGUUAAAUUUGAAAUUUGUGUCAGACAUCCAAAUCACAAAAUCUGUUGGUUAUAUAAGGCUUGAUCUGAGUAGAUAAUGUUGGUUUAGAAAUAGAAAUUUUGGAAGUAGUGAAAUAUAAAUAGUAUUUAAAGCUGUGGGUACGUAUUGCAUACCUACUUUAUAAAAACUUCCUGUGUUCAAGGUUUCUACAUUCGUUAGGGGAAAAAAAAAAUAACAUGCUCAUAUAGAAAGUUAAUUUCACAGGGUGUCUCAAAGAUCACCCCCUAAAGUCUCCAUACAUAGGAAAAAUGGAAAACCGGAGCUGAAUGUACCUUUAUUGGCAAAGAAAUG